RNAcentral lists this unclassified non-coding RNA (292 nucleotides) under uncultured fungus. Its description in RNAcentral is "partial contains small subunit ribosomal RNA, internal transcribed spacer 1, and 5.8S ribosomal RNA". The stretch from base 1 to 73 matches the Rfam family "Eukaryotic small subunit ribosomal RNA", at positions 1759 to 1831 of the family's 1831-position model. The record is from RNAcentral. Lineage: Eukaryota; Fungi.
CCAAACUUGGUCAUUUAGAGGAAGUAAAAGUCGUAACAAGGUUUCCGUAGGUGAACCUGCGGAAGGAUCAUUAACAAUUGUCCACUAUAAUGGAUAAUUUUAUCCUUACCCACCUUGUGUGAAUCAUUGACGUGUUUGUUGGCAGGUGUUGUGAGUUAUACAUGCUCGGCCUGCCAAUUUUAUUUUUGUAUAACUUGUCUAAAUGAUACUGUCUGAAAUAUAUUUUUUAUAAUAAAUAAAUACAACUUUCAACAACGGAUCUCUUGGCUCUCGCAUCGAUGAAGAACGCAGC